Molecule: microRNA precursor, 117 nt
Filed under: Leersia perrieri
Lineage: Eukaryota; Viridiplantae; Streptophyta; Magnoliopsida; Poales; Poaceae
Description: pre miRNA mir-166
Rfam family: mir-166 microRNA precursor family
About the family: This family represents the plant microRNA (miRNA) precursor mir-166.
Source: Rfam by way of RNAcentral
GUUAAGGGGAUUGUUGUCUGGCUCGAGGUCUCCGGUUGCUUAAUUUCUUCCUCCAUCACUUGGAGGCUCGCCUUCCCGUGAGCACGGAACCUCGGACCAGGCUUCAAUCCCUUUAAC